This 264-nucleotide ribosomal RNA is filed under the name uncultured bacterium. Its description in RNAcentral is "partial 16S ribosomal RNA". It matches the Rfam family "Bacterial small subunit ribosomal RNA", at positions 793 to 1055 of the family's 1533-position model. The record is from RNAcentral.
GUCCACGCCCUAAACGAUGUCAACUAGUUGUCGGGGAAGCAAUUCCUUGGUAACGCAGCUAACGCGUGAAGUUGACCGCCUGGGGAGUACGGUCGCAAGAUUAAAACUCAAAGGAAUUGACGGGGACCCGCACAAGCGGUGGAUGAUGUGGAUUAAUUCGAUGCAACGCGAAAAACCUUACCUACCCUUGACAUGUCCAGAACCCCGAUGAAAGUUGGGGGUGCCCGAAAGGGAAUUGGAACACAGGUGCUGCAUGGCUGUCGU